This is a small nucleolar RNA of Dendrobium catenatum, 106 nucleotides long. The record is from RefSeq and is a predicted model, not a curated record. NCBI's taxonomy places the organism in Eukaryota, Viridiplantae, Streptophyta, Magnoliopsida, Asparagales, Orchidaceae.
AAAUAUGGUGAGGGAAUUUCCUAAUCAUUUCUUUAAAUCUCUCCCAGCUUUCAUAUAUUGAUUCUCCCUCAAAUUGGGUGAAAGAUGUCAUAUCAUUCUUAAGUUU